RNAcentral lists this ribosomal RNA (254 nucleotides) under uncultured prokaryote. RNAcentral's name for it is "partial 16S ribosomal RNA". It matches the Rfam family "Bacterial small subunit ribosomal RNA", at positions 524 to 777 of the family's 1533-position model. The record is from RNAcentral.
UACGGAGGAUCCGAGCGUUAUCCGGAUUUAUUGGGUUUAAAGGGUGCGUAGGCUGGUAAUUAAGUCAGUGGUGAAAUACUCCGGCUCAACCUGGGGGCUGCCGUUGAUACUGGUUACCUUGAGUUUAGAUGAUGUGGGCGGAAUGUGUCAUGUAGCGGUGAAAUGCAUAGAGAUGACACAGAACACCGAUAGCGAAGGCAGCUCACAAAGCUAUUACUGACGCUGAUGCACGAAAGCGUGGGGAUCAAACAGGA